CAGGCACACGCAUGCACUCGCACACACACACGCACCCGCCCGCUCGGCUCCGCUUCCGAGCUGCCUCAGCAAGGAGGAGCCCGGACGGAAAACACCAGGGCAGCAAGGAUUUGGAAGCAGACUUCCUGGAGAAGGACCCUGGCAAUGAGUGCAGGUUUCCCUGAAAGCUGAGGCUGUUUCUUAUUCCCUAGGAGACUGAGAAGAGAGGGGGCCCCGGAUGUCAGCCCAAUCUCCGUUUUUUAUUUGUCUCGACUUUGAGGCAGAUUUCCUCUUUCAGCUCUGGGAACUGACAGACUGGCUUAAGUGUCCUCCAGUCACUUAGUGAAGACCUGUGUUUUCCAGCCUUGAUGUUACACAGUACGUCAGUCCAUUCAGCUUCUCUCCAAGAUGGUAACUACUUUCUGUUCCACAUCUCUUACACGAGAUCUUUGGAUUACUUAAAAAAGUAAGCUGCGUCCUGUAUAUUUCCUUUUAAAACUUCUCUUUAGGAAAAAAAUCAACUUAUUGUGGGUACAUCAGUGAUAUCAAACUCACUUCUCUUUUGUCUGACUGCUCUCUCCAUCUUCUGUCAGUCUAAAAAGUGUAAUUUUUUAAAGGAUUGAAGGAGUUAUAUUAAUAUUUGUGUGAACCAUUUUUCCUGCUCAUUGUCUGUUCUUUUCUCCUUCCCCUUGGUGUCUGGUUCAUCUUGACUGCUUUUAAAAAUUCUGUUGCCUCUAGUGAGGGACUGCCAGAUUAAACCAGUGAAGAGAACCAGGUGACUGUCUACUUUUAUGAAUAUAGGUUGUGUAUAAUAAAUUCAGGUUUUACAUCUAUGCAAAUUAAAUCAUCAUAUGAUUCUGACUACAUGCAUUUUUUAUCAAAUAUGGCAUAUAUUUCACGAAUUAUAUUUAACUUGUAGUCAUGUUGCAAUUUUAAAUACCUAACUAGGCGUUACAAGGUGUGCCACUAGGUCUUGGUAAAUAGGUUUACAAACACAGAAGAAAGAGAAGAAAUUUACCUUUUUUCUUGUAUUCUUGGUAAGUUCAGUGAAAAAGUUUUUCCUGCUAUAGGUGAUAAUAUUAAACAUCUCACAUACUGUUUGUCUUUAGAGACAAAAAUACAUUUUGUUACUAGAAAUGUAGAGAUUUUGUAGGGGCCUAAACAGAACAUGACCAGAAUGAGGAAGUUUUAAAGCAACAUGUCUUUGGUCUGGAGUUUACAACAUCUAGUUAGUAGGGCUUUUUGCUAAUGUUUCUAUCAUGGAGUGGAAGUCAAAUGUCAAAAUAAAUUUUUUACUUCCGCAAAAUUAUAUAUUCACCUUGGGAAUAUUGUGAAGUGAAAAUAAGAUUUAGCAAAAUUCUUUCUGUGGGAUUUAUCGACAGACAGGGCAGUUUUAGUGUCAAGCCCUAAGCCUUGCAAUAUGAUUCCCAGCCGUAGGUGCACCAUACUUUGAAUAAUCAGUCUGUCAGCUGAGCUAU
Lepidothrix coronata (blue-crowned manakin) is the source of this 1457-nucleotide long non-coding RNA. RefSeq lists it as uncharacterized. NCBI's taxonomy places the organism in Eukaryota, Metazoa, Chordata, Aves, Passeriformes, Pipridae. The record is from RefSeq and is a predicted model, not a curated record. The transcript is spliced from 3 exons.